CAGCCGCCGCGGUAAGACAGAGGAUGCAAGCGUUAUCCGGAAUGAUUGGGCGUAAAGCGUCUGUAGGUGGCUUUUCAAGUCCGCCGUCAAAUCCCAGGGCUCAACCCUGGACAGGCGGUGGAAACUACCAAGCUAGAGUACGGUAGGGGCAGAGGGAAUUUCCGGUGGAGCGAUGAAAUGCGUUGAGAUCGAAAAGAACACCAACGACGAAAGCACUCUGCUGGGUCGACACUGACACUGAGAGACGAAAGCUAGGGGAGCAAAUGGGAUUAGAUACCCGUGUAGUCCCUGUCUCUUAUAC
RNAcentral lists this ribosomal RNA (301 nucleotides) under uncultured bacterium. RNAcentral describes it as "partial 16S ribosomal RNA". It matches the Rfam family "Bacterial small subunit ribosomal RNA", at positions 509 to 807 of the family's 1533-position model. The record is from RNAcentral.